RNAcentral lists this ribosomal RNA (468 nucleotides) under uncultured bacterium. RNAcentral describes it as "partial 16S ribosomal RNA". It matches the Rfam family "Bacterial small subunit ribosomal RNA", at positions 28 to 507 of the family's 1533-position model. The record is from RNAcentral.
GACGAACGCUGGCGGCGUGCUUAACACAUGCAAGUCGAACGGAAAGGCCCUGCUUUUGUGGGUUGCUCGAGUGGCGAACGGGUGAGUAACACGUGAGUAACCUGCCCUUGACUUUGGGAUAACUUCAGGAAACUGGGGCUAAUACCGGAUAGGAGCUCCUGCUGCAUGGGGGGGGUUGGAAAGUUUCGGCGGUUGGGGAUGGACUCGCGGCUUAUCAGCUUGUUGGUGGGGUAGUGGCUUACCAAGGCUUUGACGGGUAGCCGGCCUGAGAGGGUGACCGGCCACAUUGGGACUGAGAUACGGCCCAGACUCCUACGGGAGGCAGCAGUGGGGAAUAUUGCACAAUGGGCGGAAGCCUGAUGCAGCAACGCCGCGUGCGGGAUGACGGCCUUCGGGUUGUAAACCGCUUUCGCCUGUGACGAAGCGUGAGUGACGGUAAUGGGUAAAGAAGCACCGGCUAACUACGUG